AGGACGAACGCUGGCGGCGUGCUUAACACAUGCAAGUCGAACGGAUUCGUGGCACUUGUGUCGCGGGUUAGUGGCGAACGGGUGAGUAACACGUGAGUAACCUGCCCCAGACUCUGGGAUAACUCCGGGAAACCGGUGCUAAUACUGGAUAUGACAUCAAGCCGCAUGGUUAUGGUGUGGAAAGUUUUUCGGUCUGGGAUGGGCUCGCGGCCUAUCAGCUUGUUGGUGAGGUAGUGGCUCACCAAGGCGACGACGGGUAGCCGGCCUGAGAGGGCGACCGGCCACACUGGGACUGAGACACGGCCCAGACUCCUACGGGAGGCAGCAGUGGGGAAUAUUGCACAAUGGGCGCAAGCCUGAUGCAGCGACGCCGCGUGAGGGAUGACGGCCUUCGGGUUGUAAACCGUCUUUCAGCAGGGGAGAAGCCUUUCGGGUGACGGUACCUGCAGAAGAAGCACCGGCUAACUACGUGCCAGCAGCCGCGGU
This 486-nucleotide ribosomal RNA is filed under the name uncultured bacterium. RNAcentral's name for it is "SSU rRNA". It matches the Rfam family "Bacterial small subunit ribosomal RNA", at positions 26 to 521 of the family's 1533-position model. The record is from RNAcentral.